CAAGAAGUUGCCGAAAGGCUGCUACAACCAUUAGUGAACCUAUCCUCAGCCGUUGCUUCGGCGGGUAGCUCCGGCACCCUAGGGGCCGGCGCGGCCCUGGCUUCGGGGCCCGCAGCCCGCAGAGGUACCGAAACUCUUUAUUACUGCUAGCCUCUCUGAGUAUACUAUAGCAAUAAGUCA
Molecule: unclassified non-coding RNA, 180 nt
Filed under: soil metagenome
Description: partial internal transcribed spacer 1
Source: RNAcentral